AACGAACGCUAGCGGCAUGCCUAACACAUGCAAGUCGAACGAGACCUUCGGUUCGAGUGGCGCACGGGUGCGUAACGCGUGGUAACCUGCCCUUAGGUUCGGAAUAACUCCCCGAUAGGGGUGCUAAUACCGGAUAAUGUCUUCGGACCAAAGAUUUAUCGCCGUUGGAUGGGCCCGCGUUGGAUUAGCUAGUUGGUAGGGUAAAAGCCUACCAAGGCGACGAUCCAUAGCUGGUCUGAGAGGAUGAUAAGCCACACUGGGACUAAGACACGGCCCAGACUCCUACGAGAGGCAGCAGUGGGUAAUAUUAGACACUGAGCGAAAGCCUGAUCCAGCAAUGCCGCGUGAGUGAUGAAGGCCUUAGGGUUGUAAAGCUCUUUUACCCGGGAUGAUAAUGACAGUACCGGGAGAAUAAGCUCCGGCUAACUCCGUG
RNAcentral lists this ribosomal RNA (433 nucleotides) under uncultured bacterium. RNAcentral describes it as "partial 16S ribosomal RNA". It matches the Rfam family "Bacterial small subunit ribosomal RNA", at positions 29 to 507 of the family's 1533-position model. The record is from RNAcentral.